Molecule: ribosomal RNA, 250 nt
Filed under: uncultured bacterium
Lineage: Bacteria
Description: partial 16S ribosomal RNA
Rfam family: Bacterial small subunit ribosomal RNA
Source: RNAcentral
AAUGAACGCUGGCGGCGUGGUUAAGACAUGCAAGUCGAACGGUGUUUUAAGUGUAGCAAUACAUUUGAAACGCAGUGGCGAACGGGUGCGUAACACGUGAACAAUCUACCUCCAAGUGUGGAAUAGCUCGCCGAAAGGCGAAUUAAUACCGCAUACGGUUGGCCCUCUCCUGAGGGCCAUACUAAAGUCGGGGACCGCAAGGCCCGACGCUAGGAGAGGAGUUCGCGGCCUAUCAGCUAGUUGGUGAGGU